AUGCUGUAGUAGAUAUUAGAAUAUUUUGUUAGACUAACCCCUGUAGGAAAACUUCUAAAUUAAAAUUGGGAAAGUCCUGAGAUGAACUCACACUGGAGAUGAAGAGAUACAAUAAUUUUGCAUAGGAUACAACUCACUCAUAGCUAAGAAGAAAGAAGGAUUGAUAAGAAAAGAGCAUGCAACGUUCUGCACUCUCACC
Molecule: long non-coding RNA, 199 nt
Filed under: Sorghum bicolor (sorghum)
Lineage: Eukaryota; Viridiplantae; Streptophyta; Magnoliopsida; Poales; Poaceae
Description: long non-coding RNA (SBIC_LNC013181)
Source: RNAcentral